This 274-nucleotide ribosomal RNA is filed under the name uncultured bacterium. RNAcentral's name for it is "partial 16S ribosomal RNA". It matches the Rfam family "Bacterial small subunit ribosomal RNA", at positions 523 to 796 of the family's 1533-position model. The record is from RNAcentral.
AUACGGAGGGGGCUAGCGUUGUUCGGAUUUACUGGGCGUAAAGGGCGCGUAGGCGGAUUGUCAAGUCAGAGGUGAAAGCCCUGGGCUCAACCUGGGAACUGCCUUUGAAACUAACGGUCUAGAGUCCGAGAGAGGAUGGCGGAAUUCCCAGUGUAGAGGUGAAAUUCGUAGAUAUUGGGAAGAACACCAGUGGCGAAGGCGGCCAGCUGGCUCGGUACUGACGCUGAGGCGCGAAAGCGUGGGGAGCAAACAGGAGUAGAAACCCCGGUAGUCC